RNAcentral lists this long non-coding RNA (1665 nucleotides) under Pan troglodytes (chimpanzee). RNAcentral describes it as "long non-coding RNA NONPTRT011355". Lineage: Eukaryota; Metazoa; Chordata; Mammalia; Primates; Hominidae. The record is from RNAcentral.
GGAAGGGCUGGUGUUAUCUUCAGAAUCUCAAAGAGCCCUAAACAGUGGAUACACCACAGGUCCUAGAGCUGGAGCGAUCUGUGCAGCACAUGCACUUAGAAUGACUGCCUGCGGAGCCCUUUCACAGUCGCAGCAAGGGCAGGGGAGGCUAGAUCUGGGCCUGCCUGGAGAGGCUCCCUCCCUUUCUCCAGGGCUAGAAUUGUGUGUGUCUGGAUUAGGACCCUUCCACUCCCAGAUGCUGGCAGUGUAGAUUGGCUAACACAAAAUGUGGAAGCAAAUUCAUUAUUGAAUAUUAAUUGCCUGGUGGUUUUUAAAAAAGCAGGUCUACACUGAGUCAAGCAGCAAUAUGUAAACUCAGAAGUGUGAGGGAAACUAGGAAUGGACUCCCUGGUAGAUACAACUGGAUCUCUGAUUUCAUCCCAGAGACAAGAAAAGCCAGGACUGGAAUGGGAGUAAGGCUGGGGCAGGGUCCUGCAGAGGCUGACAGGCAGGCAGGCAAGCAGGCAGGGGCUGAAGCCCCCAGCUUCACCAGGUCUGAGGAAUGGGCUUUCCCCAGUUUCCCCUUCAUUGUGCCUGCCUAGCUGGCCGGAGAACAUCCUGGAAUGUUUGGGAGCCAUCCCAGCCAUUCAAGCCCCAGGAACCAAACACCCCCUUACUCUGACCACCUUGCAGAGCCCCGGUGGUACAGCCCUGAGCAGGGGUCCCAACCCACAGGACACAGGCCUGGCCCUGAGUGGAUCCCCAGUGGGGUGAGGAAGCUGCAAUUGGGUGAGGAGGUGGAACGAAGACACAGCCUUGGAGGCAGAUAAGGGGGUGUUGGGUGUAGCAUGGGAGACAGUGGCCUGAGAGGCCAUGGGUGUCCCAGGGGACCUCCCCACCCCUGCUGACCAACUCUGCACUGCAAAUGUCCUGCCUUCCAGCCUGGUUGGGCCUCUGACAACCUGCCCCUCCUCUGACAGAAUGCCUGAGCCUGCUGGCCAGCUGGGCAGGUGGUGGGGAAGGCUGUUCAGAUGCCUUCUGGGAGGGGUCAAGGGAGGGCUGAUGGGUGGGCCUCCUUCACCCGCCCCAGGGGAGGAUGGCCUCAGACUCAAGUGGCCACGUUGUCCGGCCACAGAGCUGAAAUCCAUGACGAUCUUGGUGCUCACGCUCGGAGAGUUCAGCCUGGCCGCCACUGUCACUGUAUUCUUCCUCUACACCGCUGAGCUCCUCCCCACCGUGCUCAGGGCGACAGGUCUGGGGCUGGUGUCUCUGGCCUCGGUGGCUGGAGCCAUCUUGUCCCUGACAAUCAUCAGCCAGACCCCCUCCCUCCUGCCCAUCUUUCUCUGCUGCGUCUUAGCCAUCGUGGCCUUUUCCCUCUCCUCCCUGCUGCCGGAAACGCGAGAUCAGCCCCUCUCCGAGAGCCUGAAGCACUCCUCACAGAUAAGGUAGGUGUGGGAGCCUCCUGGGCUGUGCCAGCAUGGGGCCUGGCUCUGAAGCCUUGGCACAGAGAGCGUGCGGGGCAUUGUCCAUCCCCGCCCCUCUGCCGGAGAGCCUGUGACUCGAAGGCUGCCAUGUCCGCAGCAGUCUCUCCGCUCCUCUGGCUGCUGCUGUCUACCUGCUCCCACCCAGCCUCUGCCAGUCCCCAUCCUGCUGCCCCUCCUGACCCGGACUGGGCCAUGUCAUCUC